CCAGAGUUCGUACAGCCUGCCUUCGGCCAUCAGCCCUAGCAGGCUGCGACUCCCCAAAUCCUUUCCGUGCAUUACAUGCGCUGGCCAGGAACUCCGCCAUAGCUGUGACAAAACAAGAACAGAAACAAACAACACCACAAGACAGAAACCAUCACAUAGCCUAGAAAUUGGGGAGGGUGGGAGGGAAACUGUUCCAGACCGCUACUUCUGCUCUGGUGAGUACCCUCCCUUCUGCAUUCCUUCUUAUAUCCC
Pelobates cultripes (western spadefoot toad) is the source of this 252-nucleotide non-coding RNA. The record is from the annotation of a GenBank genome assembly. NCBI's taxonomy places the organism in Eukaryota, Metazoa, Chordata, Amphibia, Anura, Pelobatidae.